This 962-nucleotide ribosomal RNA is filed under the name uncultured Planctomycetota bacterium. RNAcentral describes it as "bacterial SSU rRNA". It matches the Rfam family "Bacterial small subunit ribosomal RNA", at positions 8 to 1001 of the family's 1533-position model. Lineage: Bacteria; Pseudomonadati; Planctomycetota. The record is from RNAcentral.
AGAGUUUGAUCCUGGCUCAGCCUGAACGCUGUCGGCGUGAUUAAGACAUGCAAGUCGUACGGUGUAGCAAUACACAGUGGCGCACGGGUGAGUAAUGCAUCGCUAAUGUACCCUGGGGUCUGGGAUAGCCAGUCGAAAGAUUGGGUAAUACCAGAUGAGACCACGAACUGGCAUCAGUUUGUGCUCAAAGGGCAACUGCCCUGGGAUCAGGCGAUGUGGUAUCAGGUAGUUGGUGGGGUAACGGCCCACCAAGCCUUCGACGCCUAGCCGGACUGAGAGGUCGGUCGGCCACAUCGGGACUGAGACACUGCCCGGACUCCUACGGGGGGCUGCAGUAAUGAAUCUUCCGCAAUGCACGAAAGUGUGACGGAGCGACGCCGAGUGAAGGAUGAAGUCUUUCGGGAUGUAAACUUCUAAAACCUGUUAGAAAGUUCUGAUCAGCAGGCUAUAAGUGGCGACUAACUCUGUGCCAGCAGUCGCGGUAAUACAGAGGCCACGAGCGUUAGGCGGAAUCACUGGGCUUAAAGCGUGUGUAGGUGGAUCGGUAAGUACUUUGUGAAAUCCCACGACUCAAUCGUGGAACUGCUUGGUAUACUGCCAGUCUUGAGGCACUCAGGGGCGAGCGGAACAGAUGGUGGAGCGGUGAAAUGCGUAGAUAUCAUCUGGAACGCCAAUGGUGAAGACAGCUCGCUGGGGGUGUACUGACACUGAGACACGAAAGCCAGGGGAGCAAACGGGAUUAGAUACCCCGGUAGUCCUGGCCCUAAACAAUGUCCACUAGUUGUGGCUCCACUGACGGAGUCAUGGCCGAAACGAAAGCGUUAAGUGGACCGCCUGGGAAGUACGGUCGCAAGGCUAAAACUCAAAGGAUUGACGGGGGCUCACACAAGCGGCGGAGCAUGUGGUUUAAUUCGAAGCAACGCGCAGAACCUUACCUGGGUUUGAAAUGGCUGGAUUAUCUU